This 960-nucleotide ribosomal RNA is filed under the name Neolindgomyces pandanae. RNAcentral's name for it is "partial large subunit ribosomal RNA". It matches the Rfam family "Eukaryotic large subunit ribosomal RNA", at positions 24 to 985 of the family's 3401-position model. Lineage: Eukaryota; Fungi; Ascomycota; Dothideomycetes; Pleosporales; Lindgomycetaceae. The record is from RNAcentral.
AUAUGGUACCCCCGCCUGACUUAAGCAUAUCAAUAAGCGGAGGAAAAGAAACCAACAGGGAUUGCCCCAGUAACGGCGAGUGAAGCGGCAACAGCUCAAAUUUGAAAUCUGGCCCCUCUGGAGCCCGAGUUGUAAUUUGCAGAGGGUGCUUUGGCGUUGGCCCCGGUCUAAGUUCCUUGGAACAGGACGUCGCAGAGGGUGAGAAUCCCGUACGUGGCCACGGGCCUUCGCCUUGUAUAGCCCCUUCGACGAGUCGAGUUGUUUGGGAAUGCAGCUCUAAAUGGGAGGUAAAUUUCUUCUAAAGCUAAAUACUGGCCAGAGACCGAUAGCGCACAAGUAGAGUGAUCGAAAGAUGAAAAGCACUUUGGAAAGAGAGUCAAAAAGCACGUGAAAUUGUUGAAAGGGAAGCGCUUGCAGCCAGACUUGCCUGCGGUUGCUCAGCCAGGCUUCUGCCUGGUGUACUCUUCCGCACGCAGGCCAGCAUCAGUUCGGGCGGUUGGAUAAAGGCUCCGGGAAUGUGGCUCCUCUCGGGGAGUGUUAUAGCCCGGGGCGCAAUGCAGCCAGCCUGGACUGAGGUCCGCGCUUCUGCUAGGAUGCUGGCGUAAUGGCUGUAAGCGGCCCGUCUUGAAACACGGACCAAGGAGUCUAACAUCUAUGCGAGUGUUUGGGUGUCAAUCCCGGGCGCGCAAUGAAAGUGAACGGAGGUGGGAACCCGCAAGGGUGCACCAUCGACCGAUCCUGAUGUCUUCGGAUGGAUUUGAGUAAGAGCAUAGCUGUUGGGACCCGAAAGAUGGUGAACUAUGCCUGAAUAGGGUGAAGCCAGAGGAAACUCUGGUGGAGGCUCGCAGCGGUUCUGACGUGCAAAUCGAUCGUCAAAUUUGGGCAUAGGGGCGAAAGACUAAUCGAACCUAUCUAGUAUGCCCUGGGUUCCUGCCGAGCCUCCUCUCUCUGGAGAGUAUA